This 406-nucleotide ribosomal RNA is filed under the name uncultured bacterium. RNAcentral's name for it is "partial 16S ribosomal RNA". It matches the Rfam family "Bacterial small subunit ribosomal RNA", at positions 30 to 526 of the family's 1533-position model. The record is from RNAcentral.
AUUGAACGCUGGCGGCAGGCCUAACACAUGCAAGUCGAACGAGUGGCGGACGGGUGAGUAAUGUCUGGGAAACUGCCUGAUGGAGGGGGAUAACUACUGGAAACGGUAGCUAAUACCGCAUACCAUCAGAUGUGCCCACAUGGGAUUAGCUUGUUGGUGGGGUAACGGCUCACCGAGGCGACGCUCCCUAGCUGGUCUGAGAGGAUGACCAGCCACACAGGAGCUGAGACACGGUCCAGACUCCGACGGGAGGCAGCAGUGGGAAAUAUUGAACAAUGGGCGCAAGCCUGAUGCAGCCAUGCCGCGUGUAUGAAGAAGGCAUGCGGGUUGUAAAGGACUUUCAGCGGAGAGGCGUUACCCGCAGAAGAAGCACCGGCUAACUCCGUGCCAGCAGCCGCGGUAAUAC